UACGGAGGGGGCUAGCGUUGUUCGGAAUUACUGGGCGUAAAGCGCACGUAGGCGGACUCUUAAGUCGGUGGUGAAAUCCUGGAGCUCAACUCCAGAACUGCCUUCGAUACUGGGAGUCUCGAGUUCGGGAGAGGUGAGUGGAACUGCGAGUGUAGAGGUGAAAUUCGUAGAUAUUCGCAAGAACACCAGUGGCGAAGGCGGCUCACUGGCCCGUAACUGACGCUGAGGCACGAAAGCGUGGGGAGCAAACAGG
Molecule: ribosomal RNA, 253 nt
Filed under: uncultured bacterium
Lineage: Bacteria
Description: partial 16S ribosomal RNA
Rfam family: Bacterial small subunit ribosomal RNA
Source: RNAcentral